AUAUAUAUGCGUCAUUCUUCCCUCUGUGAUUGUGGUGAUAACCACCUGUUGUUCACAGGUCAUCCUUUACUCCAGUGUGCGAUGGUCAACUGUGUUUGGGUAAUGCCUGUUAGUCUGGUGAAAUGUCAGGCUCAGCCCCGUCUAAUCUCAACCUCGUUCAUUUCACUUUUAAGUGCCUUUCUUUUGUUGUUGAAGUUGAACCAACCGUUUAGUUUGUCGUUUUCUGAGAUGUUACAUUAACUGUCGCUGCACCACCGUCCUCAUUUAAAGUCUCUGGUCCGUUCAACAACCCUUUGGUUACUCCAGUACUGCAGUGAUUUUAAUGGGGACCCUUACUGCAGUACUUAAGGUGAUUUUAAUGGGGACCCUUACUGCAUUACUUAAGGUGAUUUUAAUGGGGACCCUUACUGCAGUACUUAAGGUGAUUUUAAUGGGGACCCAUACUCCAGUACUUAAGGUGAUUUUAAUGGGGACCCUUACUGCAGUACUUAAGGUGAUUUUAAUGGGGACCCUUACUGCAUUACUUAAGGUGAUUUUAAUGGGGACCCUUACUGCAGUACUUAAGGUGAUUUUAAUGGGGACCCUUACUGCAUUACUUAAGGUGAUUUUAAUGGGGACCCUUACUCCAGUACUUAAGGUGAUUUUAAUGGGGACCCUUACUGCAUUACUUAAGGUGAUUUUAAUGGGGAACCUUACUCCAGUAAUUAAGGUAAUGUAGGGGGCAACCAUACUGCAGUAAUUAAGGUAAUGUACGGGGCAACCAUACUGCAGUAAUUAAG
This is a non-coding RNA of Oncorhynchus mykiss (rainbow trout), 779 nucleotides long. The record is from RefSeq and is a predicted model, not a curated record. Lineage: Eukaryota; Metazoa; Chordata; Actinopteri; Salmoniformes; Salmonidae.